UUGGAGGGCAAGUCUGGUGCCAGCAGCCGCGGUAAUUCCAGCUCCAAUAGCGUAUAUUAAAGUUGCUGCAGUUAAAAAGCUCGUAGUUGAAUUUCGGGACCAUCAUGUCGGUCGUGCCUCGGUACGUACUGGCAUUGUUGGUUUCUCCCUUCUGACGAACCAUGAUGUCAUUUAUUUGGUGUUGUGGGGAAUCAGGACUGUUACUUUGAAAAAAUUAGAGUGUUUAAAGCAGGCUCACGCUUGAAUACAUUAGCAUGGAAUAAUGAAAUAGGACGUUUGAUUCUAUUUUGUUGGUUUCUAGGAUCGACGUAAUGAUUAAUAGGGAUAGUUGGGGGCAUUAGUAUUCAAUUGUCAGAGGUGAAAUUCUUGGAUUUAUUGAAGACUAACUACUGCGAAAGCAUUUGCCAAGGAUGUUUUCAUUAAUCAAGAACGAAAGUUAGGGGAUCGAAGACGAUCAGAUACCGUCGUAGUCUUAACCAUAAACUAUGCCGACUAGGGAUCGGAUGAUGUUAAUUUUUUAAUGACUCAUUCGGCGCCUUACGGGAAACCAAAGUGUUUGGGUUC
RNAcentral lists this ribosomal RNA (564 nucleotides) under uncultured Glomeromycotina. RNAcentral's name for it is "SSU rRNA". It matches the Rfam family "Eukaryotic small subunit ribosomal RNA", at positions 548 to 1114 of the family's 1831-position model. The record is from RNAcentral. Lineage: Eukaryota; Fungi; Glomeromycota.